UACGUAGGGUGCGAGCGUUAAUCGGAAUUACUGGGCGUAAAGCGUGCGCAGGCGGUUCGUUGUGUCGGUGGUGAAAGCCCCGGGCUCAACCUGGGAAUUGCAUUCGAGACUGCGUAGCUAGGGUGCGGAAGAGGGAAGCGGAAUUUCCGGUGUAGCGGUGAAAUGCGUAGAUAUCGGAAGGAACACCAGUGGCGAAAGCGGCUUCCUGGUCCAGCACCGACGUUCAGGCACGAAAGCGUGGGGAGCAAACAGG
This 253-nucleotide ribosomal RNA is filed under the name uncultured bacterium. RNAcentral's name for it is "partial 16S ribosomal RNA". It matches the Rfam family "Bacterial small subunit ribosomal RNA", at positions 524 to 776 of the family's 1533-position model. The record is from RNAcentral.